RNAcentral lists this ribosomal RNA (228 nucleotides) under uncultured bacterium. RNAcentral's name for it is "partial 16S ribosomal RNA". It matches the Rfam family "Bacterial small subunit ribosomal RNA", at positions 568 to 795 of the family's 1533-position model. The record is from RNAcentral.
UGCGCAGGCGGACCUAUUAGUCAGUGGUGAAAUCCCGGGGCUCAACUCCGGAACUGCCAUUGAUACUGUAGGUCUUGAGUUUGGUUGAAGUGGGCGGAAUGUAGCAUGUAGCGGUGAAAUGCAUAGAUAUGCUACAGAACACCGAUCGCGAAGGCAGCUCACUAAACCAAAACUGACGCUCAGGCACGAAAGCGUGGGUAGCGAACAGGAUUAGAUACCCUGGUAGUC